AACGCACAUUGCGCCCUUUGGCAUCCCGAAGGGCAUGCCUGUUCGAGCGUCAUUCUCACCACUCAAGCCCGGCUUGGUGUUGGGAGACGUCCCGCCUCCGUGCGCGGACCCUCCCCAAAAUCAUCGGCGACGCGGUGACGGUCCCGAGCGCAGCAGAAACCUCGCUCCGUGGGCUCCGAUGCCGCGUUGGCCGCAAAACCCCCCCAAAGGUUGACCUCGGAUCAGGUAGGGAUACCCGCUGAACUUAA
RNAcentral lists this unclassified non-coding RNA (248 nucleotides) under uncultured fungus. RNAcentral's name for it is "partial contains 5.8S ribosomal RNA, internal transcribed spacer 2, and large subunit ribosomal RNA". The record is from RNAcentral. Lineage: Eukaryota; Fungi.